RNAcentral lists this ribosomal RNA (210 nucleotides) under uncultured Lactobacillus sp. RNAcentral describes it as "partial 16S ribosomal RNA". It matches the Rfam family "Bacterial small subunit ribosomal RNA", at positions 152 to 354 of the family's 1533-position model. The record is from RNAcentral. Lineage: Bacteria; Bacillati; Bacillota; Bacilli; Lactobacillales; Lactobacillaceae.
GGAAACAGAUGCUAAUACCGGAUAACAANAGAUGAUGCCUAUCAACUGUUUAAAAGAUGGUUCUGCUAUCACUCUUGGAUGGACCUGCGGUGCAUUAGCUAGUUGGUAGGGUAACGGCCUACCAAGGCGAUGAUGCAUAGCCGAGUUGAGAGACUGAUCGGCCACAUUGGGACUGAGACACGGCCCAAACUCCUACGGGAGGCAGCAGAA